Non-coding RNA from Mus musculus (house mouse), 213 nucleotides. The record is from the annotation of a RefSeq genome assembly. NCBI's taxonomy places the organism in Eukaryota, Metazoa, Chordata, Mammalia, Rodentia, Muridae.
AGGGAUGAGCCAAGGUCAGCAUGUGUAAGAGCUUUCUUUCAUCCUAAGAGGCCAGAAGGGUCCAGUGCCAUCAUCAACUGCACUUAUGUAGACAGUGCCUCUCUCUGCUUCCCUUGCUAUAAGCAAGAACCUGGAAAGCAUCCUAAGCUCUCCAUUGGCAUUUGUUCAGCUAUGGAAAGAAAAGAGACCCUGAGAAUUCUACUGGACAAGAAA